This 148-nucleotide non-coding RNA is filed under the name Nomascus leucogenys (northern white-cheeked gibbon). Lineage: Eukaryota; Metazoa; Chordata; Mammalia; Primates; Hylobatidae. The record is from Rfam by way of RNAcentral.
GCCGGGUGUGGUGGCGGGCACCUGUAGUCCCAGCUACUUGGGAGGCUGAGGCAGGAGAAUCGCUUGAACCUGGGAGGUGGAGGUUGCAGUGAGCCGAGAUAGCGCCACUGCACUCCAGCCUAGGCAACAGAGCGAGACUCCGUCUCAA